RNAcentral lists this ribosomal RNA (538 nucleotides) under Clostridioides difficile. RNAcentral describes it as "partial 23S ribosomal RNA". It matches the Rfam family "Bacterial large subunit ribosomal RNA", at positions 2387 to 2925 of the family's 2925-position model. The record is from RNAcentral. Lineage: Bacteria; Bacillati; Bacillota; Clostridia; Peptostreptococcales; Peptostreptococcaceae.
GGUCGAGCAAGGAUGAAAAUCGGACUUAGUGAUCCGGUGGUUCUGCGUGGAAGGGCCAUCGCUCAACGGAUAAAAGCUACCCUGGGGAUAACAGGCUUAUCUCCCCCAAGAGUCCACAUCGACGGGGAGGUUUGGCACCUCGAUGUCGGCUCAUCACAUCCUGGGGCUGUAGUAGGUCCCAAGGGUUGGGCUGUUCGCCCAUUAAGGUGGUACGCGAGCUGUGUUCAGAACGUCGUGAGACAGUUCGGUCCCUAUCCGUCGCAGGCGUAGGAAAUUUGAGAAGACCUGUCCUUAGUACGAGAGGACCGGGAUGGACGUACCUCUGGUGUACCAGUUGUUCUGCCAAGGGCAUGGCUGGGUAGCUAUGUACGGAAUGGAUAAGCGCUGAAAGCAUCUAAGCGCGAAGCCAACUUCAAGAUAAAAUUUCCCACCGCAAGAGUAAGACCCAAGAAAGACUAACUGGUUGAUAGGUCGAAAGUGUAAGUGCAGCAAUGUAUUUAGCUUAUCGAUACUAAUAGGUCGAGGACUUGACCAAAUU